AAAGCCUUCAAGGGGAGCCUUCCGGCUGAGAGUGAACAUGGUUCAGACCCUUCGAACCUGUCAGUUAAUACUGGCGUAGGGAUGGUGGCUUUUUUGAUG
Regulatory RNA element from Halobacillus sp. BBL2006, 99 nucleotides. It matches the Rfam family "TPP riboswitch aptamer (THI element)". From Rfam's summary of the family: Vitamin B(1) in its active form thiamin pyrophosphate (TPP) is an essential coenzyme that is synthesised by coupling of pyrimidine and thiazole moieties in bacteria. NCBI's taxonomy places the organism in Bacteria, Bacillati, Bacillota, Bacilli, Caryophanales, Bacillaceae. The record is from Rfam.